This 468-nucleotide ribosomal RNA is filed under the name uncultured bacterium. Its description in RNAcentral is "partial 16S ribosomal RNA". It matches the Rfam family "Bacterial small subunit ribosomal RNA", at positions 28 to 507 of the family's 1533-position model. The record is from RNAcentral.
GACGAACGCUGGCGGCGUGCUUAACACAUGCAAGUCGAACGGAAAGGCCCUGCUUUUGUGGGGUGCUCGAGUGGCGAACGGGUGAGUAACAUGUGAGUAACCUGCCCUGGACUUUGGGAUAACUGCAGGAAACUGGGGCUAAUACCGGAUAGGAGCUCCUGCUGCAUGGUGGGGGUUGGAAAGCUUCGGCGGUUGGGGAUGGACUCGCGGCUUAUCAGCUUGUUGGUGGGGUAGUGGCUUACCAAGGCUUUGACGGGUAGCCGGCCUGAGAGGGUGACCGGCCACAUUGGGACUGAGAUACGGCCCAGACUCCUACGGGAGGCAGCAGUGGGGAAUAUUGCACAAUGGGCGGAAGCCUGAUACAGCAACGCCGCGUGCGGGAUGACGGCCUUCGUGUUGUAAACCGCUUUCGCCUGUGACGAAGCGUGAGUGACGGUAAUGGGUAAAGAAGCACCGGCUAACUACGUG